UUAGUGGCGGACGGGUGAGUAACGCGUGGAUAACCUGCCGUAUACAGGGGGAUAACACUUAGAAAUAGGUGCUAAUACCGCAUAAGCGCACGGUUCCGCAUGGAACAGUGUGAAAACUCCGGUGGUAUACGAUGGAUCCGCGUCUGAUUAGCCAGUUGGUGGGGUAACGGCCCACCAAAGCGACGAUCAGUAGCCGGCCUGAGAGGGUGAACGGCCACAUUGGGACUGAGACACGGCCCAAACUCCUACGGAAGGCAGCAG
Molecule: ribosomal RNA, 261 nt
Filed under: uncultured bacterium
Lineage: Bacteria
Description: partial 16S ribosomal RNA
Rfam family: Bacterial small subunit ribosomal RNA
Source: RNAcentral